CUCAAUUGGCUUUAAAAAGAUGGAGUCCUAAAGAGUUCAUCAUGUCAAACAACAUUCAUACUUACAUGUUUUGGAGGGGCAUUCUAGUAAUAUAAGAGUAAUAUCUAACACUUGCUGAGUACUUGCAAAGUGCCAGGUAGUGGUCUAAGGCUUCACUGUCCCAUAUGGCAACCACGAGCCACUGUAGCUACUGAGUAACUAGUUAUGUGUGGCUUUCAGCCUAAGACUUUCUAGAAAAGAAAACUAAUGAACUAGAAAUAACAUUAUAAAUGCAUUUUGAAGCUAGAUGGUUGUUGCAG
This is a non-coding RNA of Ceratotherium simum simum (southern white rhinoceros), 299 nucleotides long. The record is from RefSeq and is a predicted model, not a curated record. Lineage: Eukaryota; Metazoa; Chordata; Mammalia; Perissodactyla; Rhinocerotidae.